AGAGUUUGAUCAUGGCUCAGAGUGAACGCUGGCGGUAGGCCUAACACAUGCAAGUCGAACGGCAGCACAGAGGAGCUUGCUCCUUGGGUGGCGAGUGGCGGACGGGUGAGGAAUACAUCGGAAUCUACUCUGUCGUGGGGGAUAACGUAGGGAAACUUACGCUAAUACCGCAUACGACCUACGGGUGAAAGCAGGGGACCUUCGGGCCUUGCGCGAUUGAAUGAGCCGAUGUCGGAUUAGCUAGUUGGCGGGGUAAAGGCCCACCAAGGCGACGAUCCGUGGCUGGUCUGAGAGGAUGAUCAGCCACACUGGGACUGAGACACGGUCCAGACUCCUACGGGAGGCAGCAGUGGGGAAUAUUGGACAAUGGGCGCAAGCCUGAUCCAGCCAUACCGCGUGGGUGAAGAAGGCCUUCGGGUUGUAAAGCCCUUUUGUUGGGAAAGAAAUCCAGCUGGCUAAUACCCGGUUGGGAUGACGGUACCCAAAGAAUAAGCACCGGCUAACUUCGUGCCAGCAGCCGCGGUAAUACGAAGGGUGCAAGCGUUACUCGGAAUUACUGGGCGUAAAGCGUGCGUAGGUGGUCGUUUAAGUCCGUUGUGAAAGCCCUGGGCUCAACCUGGGAACUGCAGUGGAUACUGGGCGACUAGAAUGUGGUAGAGGGUAGCGGAAUUCCUGGUGUAGCAGUGAAAUGCGUAGAGAUCAGGAGGAACAUCCAUGGCGAAGGCAGCUACCUGGACCAACAUUGACACUGAGGCACGAAAGCGUGGGGAGCAAACAGGAUUAGAUACCCUGGUAGUCCACGCCCUAAACGAUGCGAA
This 818-nucleotide ribosomal RNA is filed under the name uncultured bacterium. Its description in RNAcentral is "bacterial SSU rRNA". It matches the Rfam family "Bacterial small subunit ribosomal RNA", at positions 8 to 815 of the family's 1533-position model. The record is from RNAcentral.